RNAcentral lists this ribosomal RNA (274 nucleotides) under uncultured bacterium. RNAcentral's name for it is "partial 16S ribosomal RNA". It matches the Rfam family "Bacterial small subunit ribosomal RNA", at positions 523 to 796 of the family's 1533-position model. The record is from RNAcentral.
AUACGGAGGGUGCAAGCGUUAUCCGGAAUCAUUGGGUUUAAAGGGUCCGUAGGCGGGCGAUUAAGUCAGAGGUGGAAUCCCACAGCUCAACUGUGGAACUGCCUUUGAUACUGGUUGUCUUGAAUUUUAGUGAAGUAGAUAGAAUAUGUAGUGUAGCGGUGAAACGCAUAGAUAUUACAUAGAAUACCGAUUGCGAAGGCAGUCUACUAACUAACAAUUGACGCUAAUGGACGAAAGCGUGGGGAGCGAACAGGAUUAGAAACCCUAGUAGUCC